AUUGAACGCUGGCGGCAGGCCUAACACAUGCAAGUCGAGCGGAUGAGAAGAGCUUGCUCUUCGAUUCAGCGGCGGACGGGUGAGUAAUGCCUAGGAAUCUGCCUGGUAGUGGGGGACAACGUUUCGAAAGGAACGCUAAUACCGCAUACGUCCUACGGGAGAAAGCAGGGGACCUUCGGGCCUUGCGCUAUCAGAUGAGCCUAGGUCGGAUUAGCUUGUUGGUGAGGUAAUGGCUCACCAAGGCGACGAUCCGUAACUGGUCUGAGAGGAUGAUCAGUCACACUGGAACUGAGACACGGUCCAGACUCCUACGGGAGGCAGCAGUGGGGAAUAUUGGACAAUGGGCGAAAGCCUGAUCCAGCCAUGCCGCGUGUGUGAAGAAGGUCUUCGGAUUGUAAAGCACUUUAAGUUGGGAGGAAGGGCAGCCAGCGAAUACCUGGUUGUUUUGACGUUACCGACAGAAUAAGCACCGGCUAACUCUGUGCCAGCCGCCGCGGUAA
RNAcentral lists this ribosomal RNA (500 nucleotides) under uncultured bacterium. Its description in RNAcentral is "partial 16S ribosomal RNA". It matches the Rfam family "Bacterial small subunit ribosomal RNA", at positions 30 to 523 of the family's 1533-position model. The record is from RNAcentral.